Molecule: non-coding RNA, 778 nt
Organism: Pelobates cultripes (western spadefoot toad)
Lineage: Eukaryota; Metazoa; Chordata; Amphibia; Anura; Pelobatidae
Source: the annotation of a GenBank genome assembly
UGUGUGUGUGUGUGUGUAUGGGGGAUGCAGCGAGUGUUUGCACAGCCACUGUGGUGUAUAUCUGUAUACAUGACAUAUGUAUAGGGGUUGUAGAGUGUGUGUGUGUGUUUAGGGAAUGUAGUGUGUUUUUGGAGUAAUGGGGAUCUAGUGUGUGCAUAGAUGAUGCAGUGUGUAUGUCAGGAAUGUAGUGUGUGUAAGUGGUGCAGUGUGUACCUAAAGACAAUCUAGUGUCUGUAUGGGGAGGAUCUGGAGUGUGUAUAGAGGAUGUAGUGUAGUGUAUGUAUAAAGUUGUGGAGUGUGUAAGGUGUGUGAGAGGUUGUGUGUGUAGUGGUGCAGUCUGUGUGAGGGGUCUAGUGUUUGUUGGAGUGCACUGUGUGAGCGAUGCGGUGUGUGUGAGGGCUGAUGGGUGUGAGGGAUCUAUGCUGUGUGUGGGUGGGUUGAAUGCAAACAAAUGUAUUAAAAAAAAUAAUGAUUUAAAAAAAAAAGGAAAGAAAACAAAGCUUUAUGUACCCCCACCCUUCUUCUUACCUUGGGUCAGGGAGGGGGACUUACCCAAUGGCCAGUCUGGGCCUGCUGUACAGUUUGGUGGAGGUGGGAUGAUUGGUAUGGGUUGUUAUUCAGGGUUUGGACUAGGCCUCUUAGAUCCAGUGAGUUGUCAUCUUAAUGGUACAGGAUACAAGGACAUUUUAUACAAGUGGGUGCUUCCAACUUUGUAGCAACAGUUUGGGGAUGGCACUUUUCUGUUCCAGUAUGGCUAUAACCCUGAGCACAAUUCGAG